RNAcentral lists this long non-coding RNA (381 nucleotides) under Cricetulus griseus (Chinese hamster). Its description in RNAcentral is "lncRNA (ENSCGRG00015042445.1)". The record is from RNAcentral. Lineage: Eukaryota; Metazoa; Chordata; Mammalia; Rodentia; Cricetidae.
CUUACUUAGCCCCCUGCCAUUUAAAAUGUUUAAGCUUCCCACAAUAGACAAACCCAGGCCAUACCUUGCUUGCUGCCAGGGUUCUGCCUGCUUUGCCUGGUCAAAGGUACGGUCAGUCCCGCAAGUUGUUCCAUUACAGAAAAAUCUCAGACCUGGCUCUGACAGUCAAAAGCCUAUGCUGCUCUGUAUGACAGCUAAAGACCUACAACCACUGCCCUCAAGAAGACUGUGGAGACCAUGGGAGCCUCAGUAAAUCAGAGAUGUCCUGGGAUCAAAUGAAGGGACCAGCUUCCCUUUUGGCAGCCAUAACGGCCGAACACGUGCUCUAUGACCUUGUCUUAGUCACUGGAAAGUCAGAUGCCUGCCUCGUGACAAGGAACC